RNAcentral lists this ribosomal RNA (519 nucleotides) under uncultured Glomus. RNAcentral's name for it is "SSU rRNA". It matches the Rfam family "Eukaryotic small subunit ribosomal RNA", at positions 569 to 1092 of the family's 1831-position model. The record is from RNAcentral. Lineage: Eukaryota; Fungi; Glomeromycota; Glomeromycetes; Glomerales; Glomeraceae.
AGCAGCCGCGGUAAUUCCAGCUCCAAUAGCGUAUAUUAAAGUUGUUGCAGUUAAAAAGCUCGUAGUUGAAUUUCGGGGUCAGUAGAUUGGUCGUGCCUCUGGUAUGUACUGGUCUUACUGGCUCCUCCUUCCUGAUGAACCGUAAUGCCAUUAAUUUGGUGUUGCGGGGAGACUGGACUGUUACUUUGAAAAAUUGAGUGUUUAAAGCAGGCUAACGCUUGAAUACAUUAGCAUGGAAUAAUGAAAUAGGACGUUCGAUCUUAUUUUGUUGGUUUCUAAGAUUGACGUAAUGAUUAAUAGGGAUAGUUGGGGGCAUUAGUAUUCAAUUGUCAGAGGUGAAAUUCUUGGAUUUAUUGAAGACUAACUACUGCGAAAGCAUUUGCCAAGGAUGUUUCAUUAAUCAAGAACGAAAGUUAGGGGAUCGAAGACGAUCAGAUACCGUCGUAGUCUUAACCAUAAACUAUGCCGACUAGGGAUCGGAUGAUGUUAAUUUUUAAUGUACUCAUUCGGCGCCUUAAC